AGGUGUUGCUCACCUUUAAGGGUCAACUUCCUGCAGAAGGCUUUUUGCUUACAUAAGCCUUGAGUACACUUGAGAUAGCUCAACUAAUGUUGUGUUCACCAAUGUAUUUACUCUCAAUUCAUUAUUUUUUUAUAUGUAUGUCUAAGAGGUUAUGCUGGAAACUGCUGUGAUUGGUAUACAAAGUCUAUACAUAGAACAAACAAGUCGGAAUAGAAAAUAUCUUCUCUCUCUGUUGACUUUAUAGGAUGUGACAAUCUCAUUAUUGUUCCUGAUCAACUGACCAUAUUUUAUGGGACUACAUUGUGUUUUCACUUGCAUAAGGCUACCUAUAAUUAGUUCAAGGACUUAUUCAUUCCACACUUUGGACAUAGAAGCAGCCUCUCUAAGUUGUGGAGAAGCAUUGUGAAUACACUCGGGCAUCUGCUGGGCAAUGGCGUGCAGCCGGCAAAUCUUUCACUUCCAGAAGCAUUGUACUAGAACAACACUGAACCACUUCAUGGACGCCGAUCCCCUGGACAAUGACUGAAGUUGAGGAAAGGUUUUAAGUGGUUUUUUUUUUAAUUUUGCCUGCAUUUCAUGUGUGUCAAUAAUUUUGAAUUAUGGAAUGCUCUAAUAUGAAUAAAGACACUGUCAAUCCAUUGUGUAUUGU
This 649-nucleotide long non-coding RNA is filed under the name Pogona vitticeps (central bearded dragon). RNAcentral describes it as "lncRNA (ENSPVIG00000015247.1)". Lineage: Eukaryota; Metazoa; Chordata; Lepidosauria; Squamata; Agamidae. The record is from RNAcentral.